RNAcentral lists this ribosomal RNA (433 nucleotides) under uncultured bacterium. RNAcentral describes it as "partial 16S ribosomal RNA". It matches the Rfam family "Bacterial small subunit ribosomal RNA", at positions 39 to 507 of the family's 1533-position model. The record is from RNAcentral.
GGGGGGGGGGGGGGGGGGGGGGGGGGGGGGGGGGGCGGGCGGGGGGGGGGGGGGGGGGGGCGCGGGGGUGCGGGGGGCGGGGGAGCCGGCCCUUAGGUUCGGAAUACCUCCCCGAGAGGGGUGCUAAGACCGGAUAAGGUCUUCGGACCAAAGAUUUAUCGCCUUUGGAUGGGCCCGCGUUGGAUUAGCUAGUUGGUAGGGUAAAAGCCUACCAAGGCGACGAUCCAUAGCUGGUCUGAGAGGCUGAUCAGCCACACUGGGACUGAGACACGGCCGGGACUCCUACGGGAGGCAGCAGUGGGGAAUAUUGGACAAUGGGCGAAAGCCUGAUCGAGCAAUGCCGCGUGAGUGAUGAAGGCCUUAGGGUUGUAAAGCUCUUUUACCCGGGAUGAUAAUGACAGUACCGGGAGAAUAAGCUCCGGCUAACUCCGUG